Pelobates cultripes (western spadefoot toad) is the source of this 1177-nucleotide non-coding RNA. NCBI's taxonomy places the organism in Eukaryota, Metazoa, Chordata, Amphibia, Anura, Pelobatidae. The record is from the annotation of a GenBank genome assembly.
AUUAAUUAAGCGUUAUAGACGAUUAAUACGAAGUUUAGCGUAAUAAUAAUAAAAGUGGUUAGUUAUAUGUAACAAUCAGGAGUACGGUGUUGCUUGCACAUUUUCAUAUUUAGUAUGCAUUUAGGCUGUGGAGGAUUCCUCCCGGUGAGCACCCAUCUCAGAUGAAGGGCGAGCGGUCUCGUCUACUGGAGUGGAGCGUCAAGCUGGUUUACUGGUGCUAUGCACUCGGUGUGUCUCUGGACUUAGUAGCUGCUGUGUGGGGUGGGCCGUUUGGUACUUGUUGCUUUAUGUGUCAAGCCAGAUGGUGUCCGUAGUCCGCUUCAGGCUCUGCGGCUCGGCUCCCGAGCACAUGGCCUUGCCAUCUUAGAUCUAGGCCUCAAGCCUGUCCGUGUGCGGCUGUAAAGCAAGGACCGGGAUCACCCCCCUGGUCCAGAGGGGAAGGGAUCAGGACCGGGUCCGCAGAUUGUCCACGAGUUUGUCGGGCUCCGUUGGGUAGGAUAGUGGAGCGGCGGCCGUCCACUCCACUCACCGCCAGGUGAGGUCUCGUCUGAUGCCGCAGGGACCUCUCCUCUGAGGGACUAGAACUCUGAGAGCAAGCCUCUCCCCAGCUCUGGUAGCCCAUGCACAUCGAGGGUCGCAGUUAUUGGCAAUAUAUUCCCUCCAAAAGCACGAUUUACAGGCUUAAUAGGACAUAUUUGGCAGGAGCUGAUCCGCCCUGCGACCGCUCAACUCGGCGGCUCAGCCCUGCCCCCUGGUUGUUGUUUUUUUAAUACUUUACUUUUCAAAAUAAACUGACGUAUCUAUGAAAAUGUACAUUUUAGUUUUUUUGUGGCCCACAUAAAGUUAAUCCUUGUUUAUUUGGCCCCAUUGAGUUUGACAUGCUUGAUUUAAAGGAUGACUGGUGUUUCUGUAUUGGGAAAGUGCUGGAUAAUGGAGUUAGUAAGUGCUUCCACCUCCAUAUUUUAACCACCAUCGUGUUGAACAGGGGAUUGGACGGUGGGAUAAAACUGACUUGUACCAGCCCCCUUUUAAUGACUUGAUGCCUUUCCCAAUACCAUCCACAUUCUAAUCUAUUGGCAAGCUUGGAUCUUCGUUUUGCUCAGUUUAGUGAAUGAUCCCCUUUGUACUGUAUAUGCCGCUCUUUCAAAAAAGAAAUAACAUUCAAUUUAUAUGUAAG